Molecule: long non-coding RNA, 4364 nt
Organism: Peromyscus californicus insignis
Lineage: Eukaryota; Metazoa; Chordata; Mammalia; Rodentia; Cricetidae
Exons: 3
Source: RefSeq, a predicted model, not a curated record
AGGAAACUGCAGGAUGAUCUGGGCAGCCUUGGCAGAGCGGCAUGAUGCCUGGUGUAGUUUCUUCAGGCUAGAAGCAGAAGUCUUAUCAGGGGCCUCCCGAUUUCUACUUGGCUGUAGGCCCAGUGGAUCAGGGACCACUUGGUCCAGUGGAUUGGUUCAGGGAAUCAAUAGUUUCCUUUAGGCCUAGUGUAGCUAGAGUUUUCUUGCCUGGCCCACAGUCAGGACAAAUCUCUGUCACCCGCCAGUCUCAUAGCCGCUCAGACGCAACCAAGUAAACACAGAGACUUGUAUUGCUUACAAACUGUAUGGCUGUGGUAGGCUUCUUGCUAACUGUUCUUAUAUCUUAAAUUAAUCCAUUUCUAUAAAUCUAUACCUUGCCACGUGGCUCGUGGCUUACCGGCAUCUUCACAUGCUGCUUGUCAUGGCAGCAGCUGGCAGUGCCUCCCCACUCCUUCCUGUUCUCUCAAUUCUCCUCUCUGUUAGUCUUGCCUAUACUUCCUGCCUGGCUGCUGUGGGAUGGUCUAUAUGUCAAAUGUGUUGCUGAUUGGUCAAUGAAUAAAUCACUGAUUGGUCAGUGGCCAGGCAGGAAGUAUAGGGGGGACUAACAGAGAGGAGAAUGGAGAGAACAGGAAGCUGGGUGAGAGAGACACUGCCAGCCGCCAUCAGGACAAGGAAGAUGUAAAGUACCGGUAAGCCACAAGCCACGUGGCAAGGUAUAGAUGAAUAGAAAUGGAUUAAUUUAAGCUGUAAGAACAGUUAGCAAGAAGCCUGCCACGGCCAUACAGUUUGUAACCAAUAUAAGUCUCUGUGUUUACUUGGUCGGGUCUGAAUGGCUGUGGGACUGGCGGGUGUCAGAGAUUUGUCCUGACUGUGGGCCAGGCAGGAAAACUCUAGCUACACCUGGCCACUGGCCAAUCAGUGUAUUAUUUAUUGACCAAUCAGAGCAACACAUUUGACAUACAGACCAUCCCACAGCAGACCUAGUUCCCUGGAUUCCACUUGUGGAUUCUGUUCUGGAAACGGGGCACACAAGACUUGUCCAGUGGCAACACUCUUUAGUGUUGUGGAAAAUGUCAUUACCUUGUACUUCAGAGAGAUCACCCCCAAGCACAGAGUAAAGAGCUGGAGCCAGGGGAGGAGCCAGGGGAGUUGAGUUGAUUCCCAGCAGAACAGAUGUGUGGGGAGGUUCCCAUUAUCUUCCUCCAUAUCUAACACUUUCUUUCAAAGCAGGCCACAGUUGGUUGUUAUUUUCACUCCGAUGUUCAGAUGCUUCUUUUCUCUUCUGGGCUUCAGAUCUUUAAAUAUAUAGUUAAACAAAUAUGGUGGGGGGAGGGGGGAUGUUUACUAUCUGCCAGGCACUCAUAAAACCAGGACAACUGUAGUCUAGCUCUCACAGAACUCACAGUGGUAGGCACAGGGACACCUGUUUUGUGUGUCAGCCUCAUGCAAGAUCAUGAGCAGAAUUGCUUUAAAGUAAACUGGACUUUUCAGUUCUCCCUUUUUGCUCUUCUUUCGUUGACUGGUGUAAACCUAUCAACUCAGCUUUGAAGAGACUCUCCCGUUGGUCCUGUGAAGGAAUCUGCACGUACCACCGAACUUCAUUCUCCACCCAUCUGUGGUGUUUCUACCCUUUGGGAGUUUUUUCAGAGCCUCUCAUGACCUUGAGGGCACAGGCUUUCUGAUGUAUGGGGUCUUAGUCCUUAAAGAAUGACUUACUGCAAUUCUCUUUUCUGGAACCAUCCCAAGGGAGCCACAUUCUGAAGAUAGGCUUGUUUUUGAGGAAUCUUUGGGGGGCACAUGGAACACCCCAAGGAGGGGAACCUGUAGUGUAGUCACCCUACAGAGUCAUUGACCAGGACCAGAUUAAUCUCCCUGUGCUGGCUAGAACAGGCACAUGCUGCUGUUCACAAUAAUUUACCCACCAGACACUUGGAUUAGGCCUGAAUGUUGUUCCUUUAUCCCACCCUGCUCACCCUGCUGGCCUUUGCUGUGCUUCCUUCUGCCUCCUCAGAGACACUUGGAAUUGUCCCAUGGGGGAAGUCAUCAUCCCCCCACUGAUGACUGCUCACUUUUCAAAGUUCUCACAGCUUUCACCUUGAGACAAAUUCCCUGGUCCUCCAGCUGUGAGAGAAGUUGGAAUUUAUAUAUUUCCAAUGAAGAUUAAUAAUUCAUUAGAUGCUUAAGUGGAAAAGCAAAGUACCAAUUAAUCAGGCCUCCACUCAGACACACUUCCCAGCCACAAGUCUGUGGGCAUUGGCCAUGCUUUACACUGUCAUCCCAGGAAGUAGGUCAGCGCUGCAGAAAAACAGCCUCUUGUGCAUUAGCAUCUGUUCUCUCUAAUCGCUGUACGCAGCUCUGGGUCUUACUAUAGUCUUUAUUAGUUGUCCCAGCUGGGAUUUAUGUUGCCAGGAAUAAAGGACCAAGUGUGGGAGGAGUUAUCCAUGAAAGAUCCAGGUCAUGUAGUACAGGGUAGGGGAUUUGGCUGACUCAACUUCCUUGCCCAUAGAGCCUCAGGGUUGUAGCUGAAAGUUUUCUCCUGUGUCCUGCUCGGUCCGCAGCCACUCAGAUCUAAGUAUAUACACACAGGCUUAUGUUAAUUAAAACUGCUUGGCCAUUAGCUCAGGCUAACUAUUGACUAUCUCUUACACUUAAACUCAGCCCAUUUCUGUUAAUCUAUAUGUUGCCAUGUGUUCCGUGGCUCUACCUGUGUGCCAUUACAUGCUGCUCCCUGGGUGGCGGGCUGGUGUCCCCCACCCACCUUCUUCCUGUCUCUCCCUUUGAAUUUCCUGCCUGACUCUAAGCUGCCUUGCCAUAGGCCAAACGGCUUUAUUUAUCAACCAGUCAGAGAAACACAUAUUCUCAGUGUACAGAAAGACGUUCCCCCAUCACAGAGUACCAGGACCUAAAGUAGACUCAGAGGGUGCAUGUCUUAGAACUCUCUCUAGGGCUUGGCACCUAGGAACUAUACCAGGCUCAUGACUCCCCCAAUGCCAGGCAUAGCUCAAUACUAAGAACCUGUACCUGGGGAUCUCAGAGCUCAGACCAGAUCCUAUGUAAAGUUUGUGUUUGGGUAAGGCAGGUUUAUUCUGGGGAUGGAGGGGGAGUUGGGCCAGGCAGGACUUGCCCAGGACUUGUAAGACAAGACUCUCCCACCCAGUCUUGACUUUUAACAGGUACCAUUGAAUGCUCACCCAUUUUCUCCAAAGAGAGAUUUGGUUUUAAUUGGACCCACUGGGUGAAGGUGGAAACUAUGAGGCCUAAUAAGGACAUCACUUUAUGAUGAGGCGUUAGACAGCAGGACCAGCCCAGCCACAGCAUCCCAACUCCUAUGGCUAUUACAAACCUCGUGCUCCUGAAGCCUAAAAUGGUUACUAUUGCCUAUUCACAUGAGUUUGCUCACCCCUGGUAAGCUGGUGCCAGCUUGUUCUGAUGUGUCAUGUGACAAUGGCAGCAUGUGUCUGGGAGCAUGUGUCCUGUCUCAGAGGUGCCAUAUUCCCAAGGUACUGCAGAAUAUAAGGGGUUUCCUGACUUAUUUCUGUGUCUGGAAGGACCUGCUGGCCACACUCCCAAUGUUCUUUUUGCAUCGCUCACCUGUAGCUUGGCUGGGUCCUUCACUUGCUUGUUCAUGUCACUCCACUUGACUGAGUGAGAGGUCACUUUGCUCUCUCACUCAGUCCUGGAGGUUUCACUCAGGGCCUGACUUGCCCAGUGAACUCUACAUUGGGCAGGAAACCUGAGCACAGAAGUCUCAACAACAGGCUGAAAAGAGCCAGUAUAAUUGGACGUUUCCUGUCCCGACUGCCUGGUCCCAAAUAACUAACUCAGAGGCUGAAUAUGAAUUAUAAAUGCUUGGCCAAUAGCUCAGGCUUGUUACUAGCUAAUUCUUACACUUAAAUUAACCCAUAUUUCUAUUUAUGCUUUUCCACGUGGCUCAUGGCUUGUUACCUUUUUUUUAAACAUGUCCUGCUUGCUCGGUGGCUAACUGGCAUCUCUCCUGACUCUGCCCCUUCUUCUCCCAUCAUUCUCUCUGUGUCAGGCUGCCUCACCCAACCUGUUCUUGCCCUAUUAUCGGCCAAUCAGUUUUUUUUAUUAACAAUGAGCAUAAUCCACAGCAAACCAAUGCUUCUGCUUUAAUGAUUUCAUAUUAUUACAGAUUCUCUUUGAAAGAGUUGCUUAAAGAAACGCAAAGAGGCCUGACAAACAGCCAGUUCCCUUGAUGCUAAGGAAAUUCAUAUGUUACAACGAGGAAAGUGAGAGGAGAAGAUGCCAAGCUCAGGAAGGGGUGCCAGUGCCGGGAAGGUGUCUAUAUUGCAAAGAGAUGCUAUGCUGAUUAGUGGUGUGGUCUACAGGUAUGAAGAUGACAA